RNAcentral lists this ribosomal RNA (191 nucleotides) under Comamonas sp. RNAcentral's name for it is "partial 16S ribosomal RNA". It matches the Rfam family "Bacterial small subunit ribosomal RNA", at positions 1238 to 1426 of the family's 1533-position model. The record is from RNAcentral. Lineage: Bacteria; Pseudomonadati; Pseudomonadota; Betaproteobacteria; Burkholderiales; Comamonadaceae.
UGCAAAGGGUUGCCAACCCGCGAGGGGGAGCUAAUCCCAUAAAGCCAGUCGUAGUCCGGAUCGCAGUCUGCAAUCUCGACUGCGUGAAUGUCGGAAUCGCUAGUAAUCGUGGAUCAGAAUGUCACGGUGAAUACGUUCCCGGGUCUUGUACACACCGCCCGUCACACCAUGGGAGCGGGUCUCGCCAGAAG